GACGAACGCUGGCGGCGUGCUUAACACAUGCAAGUCGAACGGUAAGGCCCUUCGGGGUACACGAGUGGCGAACGGGUGAGUAACACGUGGGUGAUCUGCCCUGCACUUCGGGAUAAGCCUGGGAAACUGGGUCUAAUACCGGAUAGGACUCCUGGCUUCAUGGUUGGGGGUGGAAAGCUUUUGCGGUGUGGGAUGGGCCCGCGGCCUAUCAGCUUGUUGGUGGGGGAAUGGCCUACCAAGGCGACGACGGGUAGCCGGCCUGAGAGGGUGACCGGGCACACUGGGACUGAGAUACGGCCCAGACUCCUACGGGAGGCAGCAGUGGGGAAUAUUGCACAAUGGGCGCAAGCCUGAUGCAGCGACGCCGCGUGAGGGAUGACGGCCUUCGGGUUGUAAACCUCUUUCAGCUAUGACGAAGCGCAAGUGACGGUAGUAGCAGAAGAAGGACCGGCCAACUACGUGCCAGCAGCCGCAGUAA
Molecule: ribosomal RNA, 478 nt
Filed under: uncultured bacterium
Lineage: Bacteria
Description: partial 16S ribosomal RNA
Rfam family: Bacterial small subunit ribosomal RNA
Source: RNAcentral